AUUGAACGCUGGCGGCAUGCCUUACACAUGCAAGUCGAACGGCAGCGCGGGGCAACCUGGCGGCGAGUGGCGAACGGGUGAGUAAUAUAUCGGAACAUACCCUAGAGUGGGGAGUAACGUAGCGAAGUUACGCUAAUACCGCAUACGCACUAAGGUGGAAAGUAGGGGGAGUUCGCAAGAACCUCAUGCUCAUGGAGUGGCCGAUAUCUGAUUAGCUAGUUGGUGAGGUAAAAGGACUCACCAAGGCGACGAUCAGUAGCUGGUUUGAGAGAACGACCAGCCACACUGGAACUGAGACACGGUCCAGACUCCUACGGGAGGCAGCAGUGGGGAAGUUUUGGUAC
This 344-nucleotide ribosomal RNA is filed under the name uncultured bacterium. RNAcentral's name for it is "bacterial SSU rRNA". It matches the Rfam family "Bacterial small subunit ribosomal RNA", at positions 30 to 371 of the family's 1533-position model. The record is from RNAcentral.